RNAcentral lists this transfer RNA (84 nucleotides) under Bacillus cereus. RNAcentral's name for it is "tRNA-Leu". Lineage: Bacteria; Bacillati; Bacillota; Bacilli; Caryophanales; Bacillaceae. The record is from RNAcentral.
CGGGAUGUGCACCUUUGCCUGAUCCGACGCCUUUGCGGUCUGUUUGGGACCAGGGGGUCGCAGGUUCAAAUCCUGUCUUCCCGA